This 234-nucleotide ribosomal RNA is filed under the name Citrobacter sp. Cb022. Its description in RNAcentral is "partial 16S ribosomal RNA". It matches the Rfam family "Bacterial small subunit ribosomal RNA", at positions 218 to 451 of the family's 1533-position model. Lineage: Bacteria; Pseudomonadati; Pseudomonadota; Gammaproteobacteria; Enterobacterales; Enterobacteriaceae. The record is from RNAcentral.
CCAUCGGAUGUGCCCAGAUGGGAUUAGCUAGUAGGUGGGGUAACGGCUCACCUAGGCGACGAUCCCUAGCUGGUCUGAGAGGAUGACCAGCCACACUGGAACUGAGACACGGUCCAGACUCCUACGGGAGGCAGCAGUGGGGAAUAUUGCACAAUGGGCGCAAGCCUGAUGCAGCCAUGCCGCGUGUAUGAAGAAGGCCUUCGGGUUGUAAAGUACUUUCAGCGAGGAGGAAGG